RNAcentral lists this long non-coding RNA (6491 nucleotides) under Sus scrofa (pig). RNAcentral's name for it is "lncRNA (ENSSSCG00040030588.1)". The record is from RNAcentral. Lineage: Eukaryota; Metazoa; Chordata; Mammalia; Artiodactyla; Suidae.
GGUCAGAUUUUCCCAAAAUGGCCACCUCCAGAGAAAGGCACAGCUGCUGAAUACUCCCGAGAGUUUUGCUUUCAAUGUCCUUCCCUCACAACAAGCCAUGUUCACCCCUCUUUUCCCAGGUUGUCCUCCAAGAACUUCAGUCAGAUUUGACUCAGAUUCCCAUGGAGACUUUGCUCUGCCCUGGCACCCAGUGCACGUGAAAGUCCGUUUGCACCUUUUAAGAAUGGGGUCUCUGUUUCCCCCAGUACCAUGGAGUUCCUGCACACAAGGUCCACUGGCCUUCAGUGCCAGAUGCUCCGGGGCUCUUUCUUCCUGUGCCAGAUCCCCACACGUGAGAGUUUGAUGUGUGACUCAGAACUCUCACUCCUGUAGGUGAGUCUCUGUGAACCAGUUAGUUUCCAUUCUGUGGAGCUGCCCACCCAGAGGUAUGGGGUUGAUUAUAUCACGAAAUCACCCCUUCUACCUCUUGAUGUGUCUUCCUCUUUUUCUUCUGGAGUAGGAUACAUUUUUUAAGGUUUCCAGUGCAUUUGGGUGAAGAAUGCUCAGCCUUUAGUUGUGAAUUUUGUUGUUUUUAGGAGAGAAGUUGAGCUCCAGUCCUUCUAUUCCACCAUCUUAAUCCCGUCCCUAUCAUAUAUCAAGUUCCUAUAUGUGACCAGGUCUGUUUCUUGGCAACUUUGUACUUAUGAUGAAGCUACUGUUUCAAAAUUAUUAUAGCUUUAAAAUAUGUCUUUAUCUGGUAGGACAAGUUGCUCUUGUUUUCUUUCAGGAUUGUCUUAGCUAGUCUUGGACUUGUGAUUUUCCAAGUGAGUUUAAAAUUUUUGUGAUUUCACGGAAGAUUUUAUUGAGAUUUGGAUUGGAAUGACAAUGAAUUAUAGAUUAAUUUUGGGGAAUUGACAUCUUUGAUAUGGAGCCUUCCCAUCUAUAAAUGUUUUUCAUGUCUGUUUUAAAGAAAGCUUAUAAAAUUAUAAUUUACAAAGCAGAAAAUUCACUCAUUUCAAGUAUACAACUCAAUAAUGUUUAGUAAACUUAUGCAAUCAUCACCAUAAGCAAGUUUCAGAACAUUUUCAUCAGAUUGACUUUUUUUUUUUUUUUUGGUCUUUUGCCUUUUCUAGGGCUGCUCCUGUGGCAUGUGGAGAUUUCCCAGGCUAGGGGUCUAAUCAGAGCUGUAUCCGCUGGCCUACGCCAGAGCCACAGCAACAGGGGAUCUGAGCCACAUCCGUGACCUACACUACAGCUCACAUCAACACCAGAUCCUUAACCCACUGAGCAACGUCAGGGAUUGAACCCGCAACCUCAUGAUUCCUAGUCGAAUUCCUUAACCACUGAGCCAUGAUAGGAGCUCCACAGAUUGACUUUCACAUCCUUUCAUAAUGUUUUAUAAUUUUCUUCAUAAAUAAUCCUGCUUAACAUCUUUUUUUUUUUUAAAGUGUUAUUCUUAGCUGAUUUGUGUGUGUGUGUCUUGUGACAUUUAAUGGUAAUUUUGCCUAUUAUAUUUUCUAAUCAAGUAUUUCUUGCAUAUAGAAAUGCUUUUGAUUUUUCUAUUUCUAUCUUAUAUCCAGCAACCUUGCUGAAAUUUGUUGUUACUUCCAAUGACAUUUCUGCAGAUCCUCUUGGCUUUUCUACAUGGGCAAUUCUACCAUGUCCACAUAAUUUAUUUCAUCUCUUUCUUUCUGGUCCUUAUACCUAUGACUUUCCUUGUAAUACUUUGGCUAGGACCUCUGUUAUUAUGCUGAAUGACUGUAGUGUCUUAUUUCUGAUGCCCAUGGGAAAGCUUUUAAAAUUUAUCCUGUAGUAUAAUCUUUUUGUAGACCUUUAUACCAAGUUAGAUGUUACUUCUAUUUCAACAUUGUUAUUUCCUUUUGUUUGUUCAGUUGUGGUGGUGGUGGUUGUUAACAGUGCUUGAGCAUCCACUUUUUCUGAUCUUUACUCUUCUUCUAGGCAGGAAUUUACUGAGUUCCAGGAUCAGCAGUUAGUUAAGUCUCACAAAUCAUGUGGCUUUUUCUCCUGUGAGGCUUUAUGCAGGUAGCUCAUUGUGUACAUGUGUGGCCUAGUACUUAUUCCUGACUCAGAACUGAUACACACGCACUCGUAAUCUUUGGCUGUAGCUUCCACACAGCUGUUGAUGUUGAGUUUCUUAUUUAUUUCUGGCACCUGGGGAUUUCUGUUGUUUGGCUUUGAACUUGGAUAUACAUUUAAAACAAAAAUUUUUUUUUGAAUUUCUAUGUUUUUAAAGUAGGAGUGGAGAAAAGAGGCUGUUUCCCAGUUUGACUCAGUGAGCCAUGUUGAAUGGACACUUACUUCUAAAAUUAUACAGUGAGAACCUACUGUAUAGUGUUGGAAAAUCUCAAUAGUUUGUAAUAAUCUUUCUGGGAAAAAGAAUGGAUAUGUUUGUAUGUAUGACUGAUUCACUUUGCUGUGCACCUGAAACUAGUGCAACAUUGUAAGUCAACCACACUCCAGUAAAAUUAAAUUAAAAAAAUUCUGCAGAUCAGAUUUACUCAGAAUGUUUUAUUCAUUCUAAAAAUUUAUAGCAACACUGUCCAAUAUUACUUUCUGCAGUGAUGAAGAUAUUUUGCUUCUGUGCUCUGCAAUAUGAUCAUCACUAGCCACACAUCGCUAAUCAGCAUUUGGAAUGGGGCUAGUGUGAUCAACGAACUGAAUUUUAAAUUUUACUUAAUUGUGAGAGGGGAAGUAAGAUGGUGGAGUAACAGGACAUAAGGCUCAUAUACUCCCACAAAUACAUUGAAAAUACAACUAUAUGUGGAACUAUUCACACAGGAAAUUUGUGAAAACCUGAAAAAGACCCCAAGAUUAUGAUAGAGCAAGAAAAACAUUAGAACACAAGAAAGACAAAGAGUAAGAGAAAAAAGAAUGAAAAGGAAAUGAGAUGGGACCUGCCCUCCCAGGAGGGAGCUAGAAGGAGGAAUAGCUUCUGCACUCUGGGAAGUUUCCCCACCAGAGAUGAGAUCAGCCAAAAACAGAGGAGGAGCUCUGAAUGGUCUGAAGCAGUUAAGAAGGAAACAGACCUCCACAAAUGGUCAGUGCUAUUGCAACAGGCAUCUGUAGGCGGGUGCCAGCAGGUGUUGGGAACUAAAACUUUGGCCUUAGAGAUCAGACCCAAAGAGGGAGCUGGGGGCAGUUACGUGGGGAAGAAAAGGGGUUGGACAUGCAGAAACCACCUGGAGGGACUAGAGUAUGGGGCAACCACAAUGGAGAGCAUCUAAGCAGAGGCAACCCAGUUGGGUUUGGAGACUAGAUGCCAUUGUUUGGAGGUGUUAGAAGGAAGGGGCGGGAUCCACCACUACAGCUUUGUUCCCUAAGCCCACUUUCUCAAGCUGCAGGACACUCCUUGCCUCAGCUCAGGAACCACUUGGCAGUAGUGGUUGGCAAUGGCUGGGAAGCAGCCCUGCCCUUAGGGCUACAGACUUCUUGGAGCAGGUGGAGUAACUGCCUGGAAGAAUAACACAAGUUCCUGGUUCCUGCUGCUGGGGGCCCCUCACUAGUAGAGUCCAACCUGCACCAGAAGAGCUGCCAGCCAUGGUGGUGCUCAUCCCCUGAGAGAGCAGGGAAAACACAGGUGAUUUGGCUCCACCCAGAGAAUCUGCAGGGGCUCCGACCAGCAGGGCAGCGCCAGAAAAGCUGCUGGUGGUGGUGCUCGCUUUCUGAUGGAGUUGUGCGCUGCCCAACUAGGGAAAAGCACAAGAUACAGGACCCCAGCCAGUGGCCCUGUGAAGGCUUAUGUCAAUGGCACUCUUUCCACUGAGAAAGAGUGGAGAAAGAUUGGGAUUGCAAUCUCAAUCUGCAGGACUGCAGAGAGUACUACCAGCAGCAAGGAAGGGGGAGGGACUGCCAGAAACACAUCCUGCAGCUACAGAGACAGCCUGUGAGUGACAAUUAGGGAGACGCCCCCACCCUUGAGACUUUAGAAAGAGAGCCCUAGGGUGGCCAAGCAAGGAGAAUGCCAGCAAAGCAGUGGAACAUGCUCCCAUCUCUACAGAGAACAGUCCCUAAAGCCUACUCAGCAAAGUGGUGCACAUGAACCACUACCACCCCUGAGAACUCCAGGACUGGGCAUCUGCUUCAACAUCUGCAUUCUAACUUCAGGGGACAAUUAACAGAAAAGUAAACACUAUGAAAUACCAAAGAAGUAUCCUUUAGACAAAGGAACAAGACAGGAAUACAUAAAAACCACUAAAUGAUGAGGAGAUAAGCAAAUGGACCUGACAAAGAAUUCAGAGUGAUAAUAGGAAAGAUGAUCCAAGGUCUUGGAAAAAGAAUGGAGACACUGAUUGAAAACUUAAAAAAGAAUGUUUAACAAAGAGCUAGAGGAUUUGAAAAGGAAAAUGAAUAGUGUGAUAGCUGAAAUGAAAAAUAAUCUAGAAGGAACCAAUAGCAGGUUAACAGAGGCAGAAGAACGAGUAAGUGAGGUGGAAGACAGGGUGAUGGAAAUCACUGCUACAGAAAAGAACAAAGAAAAAAAGAAAAACACUGAGGAGAGUCUAAGAGACUUCUGGGACAACAUUAAAUGUACCAACAUUCGCAUAAUGGAGGUUUCAAAAGGGGAGGGGAGAGAAAAAGGGCCAGAGAAAAUAUUUGAAGAGUUUGUAACUGAAAAUUUCCCAAAUAGGGAAAGGAAACACUCAAGUGGAAGAAGCACAGAGAAUUCCAUACACAGUAAGCUGCGGAAGAAAUACAGCAAGACACAUACUAAUCAAACUGACAAAAAUUAAGUUCAGAGAAAAAAAUAUUAAGAGCUGCAAGGGAGAAGCAACAAAUCACAUAUAAGGGAAUUCCCAUAAGGAUAACAGCAUAUCUCAGGAGAUCUACAAGCCAGAAGAGAGUGGCAAAAUAUAUUUGAGGUGAUGAAGAGGAGGAACCUAUAAUGAAGAAUACUCUACCCAGCAAAUUUCACAUUCAGAUUUGAUGGAGAGAGAAAAAGCUUCACAGACAAGCAAGAGCUAAGAGAAUUCAGCACCUCCAAACCAGCUCUACAUCAACUACUAAAGGAACUUCUCUAAGCAGAAAAGAAAAAGCGACAAUUUGAAAGGAGAAUAUUAAAAAUGAAGAAGCUCACUGGUAAAGGCAAAGAUAAUUUAAAAGUAGGAAAUCACCCAUUGACAAAUAUGAUAUCUAGCAAGCAUGAGAAGAGAGGACAAAUGCAGAACAUUGAAAAUGCAUUUGAAAUUAAGGAGAGCAGCAGGACAAAACAAUUCUGGACACAUAUAGAUGGAUAUAUCAAAAUAUAAGGGGAACCACUAGUCAAAUAACUAAUGGUCACACACACAAAAAGGAAAAACCAAGCAAAACAUAACAGUAAACAUGGUCAGCAAAUCACAAGAAAAGAUGAAAAAAAAAAAAAAAAAAAGGAAGACAAAAGAUCCAAAAUAGCAAUCCAAAAAUAAUUCUUUUAAAGUAAAUGACAAUAAAUACAUACUUAACCAUAAUUGCAUUGAAUGUAAAUGGAUUAAAUGCUCCAACUAAAAGCAAAAGACUAAUUGAAUUGAUUCAAAAGCAAGACCCAUAUAUGUACUUUCUACAGGGUACCCACUUCAGAUCUCUGGACACGUACAGACUUAAAGUGAGGGGAUGGAAUAAAAUAUUACAUGCAAAUGGAAAUUGUAGAAAAGCAGGAGUAGCAGUACUCAUAUCAGACAAAAUAGAUUUUUAUUUAUUUAUUUAUUUAUUUUGCUAUUUAGGCCUGGACCCACGGCAUAUGAAAGUUCUCAGACUAGGGGUCUAAUUGAAGCUACAGCUGCCGACCUACACCACAGCCACAGCAACAGCAACAGCAACACCAGAUCUGAGCUGCAUCUGCAACAUACACCACAGCUCACAGCAAUACCUGAUCCUUAGCCCACUGAGCAAGGCCAGGGAUUGAACCUGCAACUUCAUGGUUCCUAGUCAGAUUCAUUUCCACUGCACCAUGAUGGGAACUCUAGACAAAAUAGAUUUUAAAAUAAAGAAGGUCACAGGAGGCAAAGAAGGACAUUACAUAAUGAUCAAAGGAUCGAUGCAAGAAGAAGAAAUAACAAUUUUAAAUAUGUAGGCACCCAAUAUAGGAGCAGUACAAUAUAGAAGGCAACUACUAAUAGCCAUAAAAGGGGAAGUUGACAGUAACACAAUUAUAGUGUGAGACUUUAACACCCACUUAUAGCAAUGGAUAGAUCAUCCAGACAGAAAAUCAGCAAGGAAACACAGGCCUUAAGUAAUGCACUAGACCAAACAGACAACUGAUAUCUAUAGAAAUUUUCACUCCAAAGCAGCAGAAUACACUUUCUUUUCAGGUGCACAUGGGAGGUUCUCCAGGAUAGAUCACAUCUUGGGCCACAGAUCAAGCCUUGAUAAAUUUUUAAAAAUUGAAAUUAUUUUAAGCAUUUUCUCUGAUUACAAUGCUACGAGACUAGAAAAAAACUGCAAGAAAAGAGGCAAAAACCAUACAUUCUUAGAAGCUAAACAAUAUGCUACUGAACAAUCAAUGGAUCAUUGAAGAA